GACGAACGCUGGCGGCGUGCUUAACACAUGCAAGUCGAACGGAAAGGCCCUGCUUUUGUGGGGUGCUCGAGUGGCGAACGGGUGAGUAACACGUGAGUAACCUGCCCUUGACUUUGGGAUAACUUCAGGAAACUGGGGCUAAUACCGGAUAGGAGCUCCUGCUGCAUGGUGGGGGUUGGAAAGUUUCGGCGGUUGGGGAUGGACUCGCGGCUUAUCAGCUUGUUGGUGGGGUAGUGGCUUACCAAGGCUUUGACGGGUAGCCGGCCUGAGAGGGUGACCGGCCACAUUGGGACUGAGAUACGGCCCAGACUGCUACGGGAGGCAGCAGUGGGGAAUAUUGCACAAUGGGCGGAAGCCUGAUGCAGCAACGCCGCGUGCGGGAUGACGGCCUUCGGGUUGUAAACCGCUUUCGCCUGUGACGAAGAGUGAGUGACGGUAAUGGGUAAAGAAGCAACGGCUAACUACGUG
RNAcentral lists this ribosomal RNA (468 nucleotides) under uncultured bacterium. RNAcentral describes it as "partial 16S ribosomal RNA". It matches the Rfam family "Bacterial small subunit ribosomal RNA", at positions 28 to 507 of the family's 1533-position model. The record is from RNAcentral.